This 337-nucleotide unclassified non-coding RNA is filed under the name soil metagenome. RNAcentral describes it as "partial contains 5.8S ribosomal RNA, internal transcribed spacer 2, and large subunit ribosomal RNA". The stretch from base 1 to 120 matches the Rfam family "5.8S ribosomal RNA", at positions 35 to 154 of the family's 154-position model. The record is from RNAcentral.
GAUGAAGAACGUAGCGAAAUGCGAUAAGUAAUGUGAAUUGCAGAAUUCAGUGAAUCAUCGAAUCUUUGAACGCACAUUGCGCCCGCCAGUAUCCUGGCGGGCAUGCCUGUUCGAGCGUCAUUUCAACCAUCAAGCCCCCGGGCUUGUGUUGGGGACCUGCGGCUGCCGCAGGCCCUGAAAAGCAGUGGCGGGCUCGCUGUCACACCGAGCGUAGUAGAUUUUAUCUCGCUCAGGGCGUGCUGCGGGUUCCGGCCGUUAAACCACCUUCAUAACCCAAGGUUGACCUCGGAUCAGGUAGGAAGACCCGCUGAACUUAAGCAUAUCAAUAAGCGGAGGA